AAGAUCGAUAGAACAAAAAACGAAGCAAGCAGUCACUGCACCCGGUAUACUAAGGUGGGUAUUAUCAGGAUUUAAUAUUUCAGGCCUCCCCAAUUUUUAAUACGAAAAGAAGUCUCCUGAAAAAAAAGCAAUUUUCUGAUGUUUGAAAGCACUCCCCCCUUACUGGCUGAGAUCGAUCACGUGGCCAUUCGUGAUGAGACUGUAUCCACUGAUGCUGGGAUUGAGCCCCUGGCCCCAUGUAACCCUAGCAACCCUGACCAACCAGCACCGUUUGGAUUCAUCACUGAGAACCUCUACAUAUCUCCAGUGCUGUAUGUAUCAAAAGACAGGAAGCGUGCCAAGCGAAUGGUUUGCGAGUGUCAAUUUGAUCCAGAAAUGGAUGAUCCUGAAGAAGCUUGUGGAGAAAACUGUCUCAACAGAGUGUUAAUGAUCGAGUGUGGUUCAAGAUGUCCGUGCGGAGAGUACUGCACUAAUAAAAGAUUCCAGAGAGCCAAUUAUGCUAAUGUGAAGGUAUUCAAGACAGAGAAUAAAGGCUGGGGACUGAGGGCCUGCAAAGACAUUCGACCUGGCGAGUUUGUGAUGGAGUACUGCGGUGAGGUGUGCACGCUGACAGACUUUGAGGCACGGAAAGUAGAAUAUGUGAGGGACAAGAGGAGGCACUACUACUUUAUGUCUCUCAGAACUGAUGAGAUUCUGGAUGCAACUAGCAAGGGCAACUAUUCCCGCUACAUCAAUCACAGCUGUGAUCCUAAUUGUGAGACUCAGAAGUGGACUGUGGGGGGCCGUCUGAGAAUAGGAUUUUUCUCAAUCAAGAGAGUGAGAGAGAAUGAGGAGCUCACCUUCGACUACAAGUUUAAGAGGUUUGGUAACCAGGCUCAGAAGUGCUACUGUGGUAGUGCUAGUUGUCGUGGAUACAUUGGCCAAUCAAAACAGAACUCUACCACCUCGCUUAAAGUGCUCUCAUCAGCUCAAGGCCCCACCUCCCCCCGUAGCCCUAGAGAGAGGAGACGUGGUCGCAUCAGACUGCUCAGUGAUGCUGACAAUGCUUUUGAGAAGGAGGUAUACUCAAUAGUGGGUUCCAGCUGGCGCCUGAGAGGCAGUGUGCAGGUGCUCUCUCUGUCCAGGAUAAUGCUACAGGCUGAGACCACCAGUCAGAGGGGCAUGCUCUUGCAGGUAUUGUUAGCUACCAAGGAUACUGGAUGCCUAAAAAAGUUCCUCUCCCUUCAAGGACUGCGGCUGCUUUGGUCGUGGAUGAUUGACUCGGGGGAUAGUGACACUGAUGACAUCAUUAAUUUCAGAAUACAGAUGUUACAAGUGCUGGAUCACCUUCCCUUGACAACCAGGAAUCAGUUAGAAGAGAACAAGCUGUUACCGGUAGUCAGGAAGUGGAGAGAGAGACCUCCUACAAAGACGAGGCAGGAGCAUUGUCCUAAGGAAAAUGAACCUGUACAGCCAACGGUUCCAACUUCCACAACCUCAGACGAUCACUUUGACAGAAUUAUUGUGACUGAAGCUGAUAGUGCACAGAGUGAGGGCAUAUGCUCUGAAGGAGCAACUCUUCCAUUGUCUAUGCCUGAAGGAGACCCAGUGGGCAAUACAGAGAAAAUGGAUGAUAGCUGUGAAGCAGAAGCCCGAUAUCUAACCUCUGAUCACUCUCAAGACAGCGACUCUGGAGAACCAAAUCACAUGUAUGUGGGAGAUCACACACCGCCAUAUCAAUCUCCUAGAAGUAGCCAAGAGGAGUCUACUCCUAGAGAGUUAUCUCCUGGAGGGCUGGAUACCUUGCAAGAGCCUGAAGAUGAGUGUUGUUUGUCUCCAGUAACCAUCACUGAAGUACAAGAACCAGAGGAACUAGAGCGCAGAGUUGAACAAGAUGAACAACAUUCACCUACGCAUUCUCAGGGUCGCUAUGUUCAAGAACAGUCAGCAGUGCAAGUACACUCCCCUGAUGACGGGCAGGUGCUAUCACAAGUGCAAGACGAAUCCAGAGAUCUUACGCCAUCACCAGAUGAUAAGCAAUCUGCUGCUCCAACUGAAACUACUCUUGAUUCAGUAGAUGAGUUGUCUGACAAUGACGGGGUAGGUGGUCCGCCAAAAUUCAACUCAGAACUACUUUCUACACAAGAAAAGUCAAUCCAGUCUUCAGAAGAAUGUAUUAACGAGCAAGUUGUCUCCCAAACUGACCAGUUCAAGGACCUUUUUUCCGAAAAUAAUUUGCUUCAAGUACAUUCUAGGGGGCAAACGAAAGAGUUGGAGUGUGAGGAUGAGCAUCCUGUGGUGUGUGGUAGCAGAGAUAAGCUAGUGUCAAUGGCUGAGCAACUAGUUGAGAAGUGGGAAGGCUUAAAGGAAGUAUUUCGUAUACCCAAGAGAGCGCAAAAGAGCAAGACUGCCAGUACAGAGGAGAGCUCUAAUGAGGGAGGGACCACUGAUGGAGACGGCUGGGAUGAUCUACCACAGCCACCACGGAAAAGGUCCCGGAGACCAUCUCCCGAGAGAACAUGGUCACGCAAACUAAAAAGUUCCCCUUUUCAAUCUCGUCACUCCACUCACCCCCGCCCACACAACACCAGCGGAGGCUCACACUACACACCCUCCACACCUCCACAACCUCACACUCUACCCAUGUACUCAACUGGGUUCACGGCUGGUGGUCCAGUUCAGAACACUGUAAUUGUGCAGCACCCCGGUCAAGGUGUUUACGUCCAGCAGCAUGUAUUCAAGGACAGUUGUCACACGACGGUUCUCCCAGCCCAGCAGUACCUCCAUGCUCCACCGCCCACCUCUCAGUUUGUGCAGGUCCACCACCAAGCCCCAGGAACCAUUAUAUCACAGCAAGGAUUACCCCCCACACAACAAAGCGUUUUGAUUGGUCUUACUCAGCAAUCUCUCUUACCCCAAUCAGUUCAAGGAGCUUCUCUACCACACAACACCCAGGUGGUCCUGGGACCUCCCGGCGGUGCACAGCAAGUGGUACCCUCCAUGCAACAAGGUGUAUCCACCUAUACCCUUCCUCAAUCCUCAUCACUCGUAGGUUCUGUGCAGCAAGCAUCGUACCUUGGAUACCAGGCCCCUAGAGUAAUCCUGCCUCAGUCUGGUACCACAACACAGCCCCUUCUGCAAGCAACUGGUCUGGGGAACCAACAUCUACAAUACAACUCACAGGUCUACAUGCCAACACAGUCCGGCCCAACCUUGUUCAGUCAGUCCGUCUCCUCCAAUCUACCACCGACCUCCACUGUGUCACUGAUGGAACCAGCUCUAUCCCUUGCUCCCCUACCUCCUCCUCCUCCUAAUGAGGGUGGUGUGGGUCUUCCUCUGAAUUGGAAAACUGCUCAUGAUCAAACCGGGAAAGCAUACUACUAUCAUGUGAUCACUCGUAAGACGCAGUGGGAGCGGCCCACUGACAAAGAUGCCGAAGGGACAAUCAUCAUGGACCUUGGCACUCCAGAACCAGACUCUGACAAAGAACAGGACGAGGUUGAUUUCAAAAGGGGGCCCAGAACACCCAUUGACAGCCGUCGCCCACAUACUCCAGAUGAAACCCCUCCCCUUUCUCCCACUGGGCCUCGUACUCCUUCCAGUCCCACUCCUCAUUCAUCCAUAAGUACCACAACCACCAGUGCCAAUCCUGAACCUAACUCUCCCACAACCCAUCCAUCAGAAUAUAUCAAAGCAAGCAUGGAAACAAGUUUUAUAUCUGAAGAUGAACCCACCGGUACCCUUGAGUCUGAUUCCAAAACCACAGACUGCAUGUCCAGUUCAGUAAAUGAAGAAAACAGUCCAACGUAUUCAGAACAAUACAGUAUGACUCCCUCGCCAAUGGCUAGGUCUUCGUCUCCUCAUGAUCACUCGACUAGUAAGAAGCGUUCCUCUCGUAAAAAACGGCGAUCCAAAGAGCAUGUGUUGAAAGAGUCGUUUCGCCAUAAGGUUUCAAAGUUAGUGACACAAUGCUUGGACCAGCACAGAAAACCAGACUGCAAAUACGGCAGAAUCACUUGUGUAGAAGAUUUUAAGCACUUAGCGAGAAAGGCCAGAAUCAGAACCUGAAUCGCAGGGAAGUGGAUAAUGAUCGACGUAAAAACAAUUGAAGUUCAAGGCUAAAAUUAUAAUGGCUCCAUCAGCAGAGCCUUGCAGCUCUCUUCUCACUCUUGCAGCUACUAAUAAUUAGCGUUCCAGUGCAGAGCUGCCUACUAAGUAGAGUUGCAACAUUCCAUGGACAAGUUUUUCUACGCACUCUUCUGAAAAGGCUGCAAUGGCAUUCCAAUUGAGCCAUGGGUUGACUGAGAAAGAGAUUUCCAGGAAGGGUGGAUUGGACAAGGUAGCGCUAACAGACUCUGUACGAACCAAGGCAAAGGAGUACAUCAGGCAUUACAUGAAGAAAUUUGGGGCAGUCUAUGUACGGAAC
Molecule: RNA transcript, 4405 nt
Organism: Halichondria panicea
Lineage: Eukaryota; Metazoa; Porifera; Demospongiae; Suberitida; Halichondriidae
Gene name: histone-lysine N-methyltransferase SETD2-like
Exons: 27
Source: RefSeq, a predicted model, not a curated record